This 497-nucleotide ribosomal RNA is filed under the name uncultured bacterium. RNAcentral's name for it is "partial 16S ribosomal RNA". It matches the Rfam family "Bacterial small subunit ribosomal RNA", at positions 28 to 507 of the family's 1533-position model. The record is from RNAcentral.
GAUGAACGCUGGCGGCGUGCCUAAUACAUGCAAGUCGAGCGAACGGACGAGAAGCUUGCCUCUCUGAUGUUAGCGGCGGACGGGUGAGUAACACGUGGAUAACCUACCUAUAAGACUGGGAUAACUUCGGGAAACCGUAGCUAAUACCGGAUAAUAUUUUGAACCGCAUGGUUCAAAAGUGAAAGACGGUCUUGCUGUCACUUAUAGAUGGAUCCGCGCUGCAUUAGCUAGUUGGUAAGGUAACGGCUUACCAAGGCAACGAUGCAUAGCCGACCUGAGAGGGUGAUCGGCCACACAGGAACUGAGACACGGUCCAGACUCCUACGGGAGGCAGCAGUAGGGAAUCUUCCGCAAUGGGCGAAAGCCUGACGGAGCAACGCCGCGUGAGUGAUGAAGGUCUUCGGAUCGUAAAACUCUGUUAUUAGGGAAGAACAUAUGUGUAAGUAACUGUGCACAUCUUGACGGUACCUAAUCAGAAAGCCACGGCUAACUACGUG